AAAGCGUAAGUUGGAAUGGCCUAUCCGCCGAAUGAGAUUAAAAAAGAUUAAGCGGAAGAAAAGAAAAUAAAUAAUGAUUCCUUUAGUAAUGUCGAAUGAAAAAGGAAAAGCUCAAGAGGAAAAUCCUGUGAAUAGAUGUUUUCCAGUUAAUUCCAGGAAUUGUCUUGUUUAUAUGAUAUUUUUCCAUAGUAACUAAAUUUUUUUUCCGAAAAAAAAAAUUCUUAGUCCUUAACCAAAAUAAAAACUGAAUAUGUUUUACCACAGAGGGUGAGAGUCCCGUAGGUUAUUACUAAGGCAUGACAUAGUAACUUGGAAUUUUAUCUUUAGAGUCGUGUUUAUUCAUAUUUCAACACAAAAAUGUAUGACUGUUUUCAUAUAAAGCUAAAUAUUUAUAGGAGACCGAUAGCAAACAAGUACCGUGAGGGAAAGAAUAAAUGACACUCAGGAAUGAGAGUUAAACUGUACCUGAAAUCGUUAGCAGUGAAAAAUGGAUUAGAUAAGAAAAAAUAGCAUUAAAGAUGGAUGUCUUUUUUGUUAUGAAGGACAUCAGUGAAAAAAGAUUAAUCAGGCAAAGCAUAUUUUUCAGGGCAUAAAAACUUUAGUGUUUUCUUGCUUCUCUGUUUUGUGAUCGAUUUAACUAUCGAGUUUCAAAACAUGGCUUUGUAAUUUUAAAUUAAAAAAAAAAUGAUUAUAUCUUAUUUACUGAGGAAUGUGAAAAAGAGGGAAAAAAUGAAAGCUUUUUCUUUCCAGCUGGAUUUUUUUUUUUCUUUUGAGAUGUCCUGAAAAAGUACUUCUCUAACCCUGACGUAUUGAAAAACAUACGAACCAAGGAAUCUAACAACUGGGCAAGCGUAAAUGGAAAUAAUUUUAUAUACUAAUCAUUUUGAGAGCGCAUUGGUUUGAUAAUCAAACUGUGGGAAGUCUCUAAUGUCUUCUAUUGUAGAUUACAAGGGGGGAAGGUCAUUAGGAGAAAUAUUAUAUUCUUCCUUUUGUCCAUGUAAAAAAAAAAAAAUUUACCUCUCCACGUUGCAUACAAAAUUUGGGAAAAAAACUAUAUAAAAAUAAAGCAGAAAAGUUACACGCUCUAGUGGGGUAUAAAUGGUGCACUUACGUUAUAUAUGUAAAGUAUGUAUUGUAGGGGUAUCUCCUCAUUUGGGUUUAUGAGAAGGGUUAUUUAUAAUGGUUUCUAUCAUAAGAUAGGAGAAGUGUAAUUGAUUAUGCGGUCUUCAUUUUUAUGCUUGUUUUUCCGAAUUAGAGCCUAUUUGUUAGGACCCGAAAGGCUUUGUACCUAAGCAUGCUUGUGUAUAUAAUGCAUAGUAAUGUUUUAGGGAUGUAUUAAUUUCGUAUAAUACAUGAAAAGUCGAAUAACUGGUUAUUUUCGAAAUAUCAUCUCGUGAUCGCUGAAGUUGUGGAUAGUAUACACCUCUGUGAUACUUUAUAAUUUUUUUGUCUUAGUGCUUAACUUUUGAUGAUUUAAGGAAAUGGACAUUGUAGAGUUUGCCGUUUAACCAGAGGCAGGGAUUUAGGGUUUGGAUUUAAGCGUUAUGCUUUCUUUUAGACUCUUUAUCUUAAGGUGGUGGUUUUAACUCUCUUUGUUGAAUCAUCAAAUUGCACAUAAAAAAAAAAAAUAUAAGUACAAAAAGAAGUAAAGUGAAAAAUAUGAGAAGUGUGAUUUUUAAAUUGCGGAGAAGUGUUUUCUUUUUUGAGACGCUUUUGGGAUGCACCUUAUAAUUAGUCUUUGUGAAAAUUUUAUUUUUCACCAUUUCUUGUAUUAUAUUUACUUUUAUGAAAUAAGAUAGCUUCAAGUGUGCUAUUUUUCUUUUUUUAAAAAAAGAAACUAGCAAUGAGGGAUGUACCCUAGAGCUUGGAUAAGGUGCCUAAAUAUUUGCUCUUAAACAUAUCUAUGAAAAAAUAUGUGGGAAUAUUUUACGUUGACAGUAGGAUGGUAAUCUUUUAUAGUAGGUAUCCACUAAGGAAUGUGUACAAACUCACCUGCUUAGUAAUUAUUCUUCUUAUUACGGAUAUAGCGUUACAGUGAAUUACCGAUACCGAGCCAUAAAAGGAUCUUUUUAUAGAAUCUUUUUAUGUGUAGAAAAUCGUGGGAUAUGUGCAGAAGCGUUAGACGUGAGUUGGCGUGGAACAUUUUCCUAGUGCAGAUCUUGGUGAUAAGUAGU
RNAcentral lists this non-coding RNA (2174 nucleotides) under Plasmodium ovale (malaria parasite P. ovale). Its description in RNAcentral is "Eukaryotic large subunit ribosomal RNA". It matches the Rfam family "Eukaryotic large subunit ribosomal RNA", at positions 1 to 1464 of the family's 3401-position model. RNAcentral also lists the same sequence under 1 other name. Lineage: Eukaryota; Apicomplexa; Aconoidasida; Haemosporida; Plasmodiidae. The record is from Rfam by way of RNAcentral.